This 428-nucleotide ribosomal RNA is filed under the name uncultured Glomus. Its description in RNAcentral is "SSU rRNA". It matches the Rfam family "Eukaryotic small subunit ribosomal RNA", at positions 569 to 1002 of the family's 1831-position model. Lineage: Eukaryota; Fungi; Glomeromycota; Glomeromycetes; Glomerales; Glomeraceae. The record is from RNAcentral.
AGCAGCCGCGGUAAUUCCAGCUCCAAUAGCGUAUAUUAAAGUUGUUGCAGUUAAAAAGCUCGUAGUUGAAUUUCGGGACUAACAGGUUGGUCGCGCCUUUGGUCUGUACUGGCCUAGUUGGUUUCUCCCUUCUGACGAACCACGAUGUCAUUAAUUUGGUGUCUUGGGGAAUCAGGACUGUUACUUUGAAAAAAUUAGAGUGUUUAAAGCAGGCUCACGCUUGAAUACAUUAGCAUGGAAUAACGAAAUAGGACGUUUGAUUCUAUUUUGUUGGUUUCUAGGAUCGACGUAAUGAUUAAUAGGGAUAGUUGGGGGCAUUAGUAUUCAAUUGUCAGAGGUGAAAUUCUUGGAUUUAUUGAAGACUAACUACUGCGAAAGCAUUUGCCAAGGAUGUUUUCAUUAAUCAAGAACGAAAGUAGGGGAUCGAA